GUGAGCGUAGCUCAAUGGUAGAGCAUUAGUUUGUGGAACUAAGGGUUGCGGGUUCAAGUCCCGUCGUUCACC
This 72-nucleotide transfer RNA is filed under the name Anaerolineales bacterium HSG24. Its description in RNAcentral is "tRNA-His". It matches the Rfam family "tRNA". From Rfam's summary of the family: Transfer RNA (tRNA) molecules are approximately 80 nucleotides in length. Their secondary structure includes four short double-helical elements and three loops (D, anti-codon, and T loops). The record is from RNAcentral. RNAcentral also lists the same sequence under 1 other name. Lineage: Bacteria; Bacillati; Chloroflexota; Anaerolineae; Anaerolineales.